UUUAAAGAGAGUUUGAUCCUGGCUCAGGACGAACGCUGGCGGCGUGCCUAAUACAUGCAAGUCGAACGAACGGAGGAAGAGCUUGCUCUUCCAAAGUUAGUGGCGGACGGGUGAGUAACACGUGGGCAACCUGCCUGUAAGUUGGGGAUAACUCCGGGAAACCGGGGCUAAUACCGAAUGAUAAAGUGUGGCGCAUGCCACGCUUUUGAAAGAUGGUUUCGGCUAUCGCUUACAGAUGGGCCCGCGGUGCAUUAGCUAGUUGGUAGGGUAAUGGCCUACCAAGGCAACGAUGCAUAGCCGACCUGAGAGGGUGAUCGGCCACACUGGGACUGAGACACGGCCCAGACUCCUACGGGAGGCAGCAGUAGGGAAUCUUCCGCAAUGGACGAAAGUCUGACGGAGCAACGCCGCGUGUAUGAAGAAGGUUUUCGGAUCGUAAAGUA
Molecule: ribosomal RNA, 443 nt
Filed under: Listeria monocytogenes
Lineage: Bacteria; Bacillati; Bacillota; Bacilli; Caryophanales; Listeriaceae
Description: bacterial SSU rRNA
Rfam family: Bacterial small subunit ribosomal RNA
Source: RNAcentral